Molecule: ribosomal RNA, 429 nt
Filed under: uncultured archaeon
Lineage: Archaea
Description: bacterial SSU rRNA
Rfam family: Archaeal small subunit ribosomal RNA
Source: RNAcentral
UACCUGCAGCUCAAGUGGUGAUCAUUAUUAUUGGGCCUAAAACGUCCGUAGCCGGUUUAGUAAAUGCCUGGGUAAAUCGUGUAGCUUAACUAUACGAAUUCCGGGUAGACUGCCAAACUUGAGACCGGGAGAGGCUAGAGGUACUCCAGGGGUAGAGGUGAAAUUCUGUAAUCCUAGGGGGACCACCAGUGGCGAAGGCGUCUAGCUAGAACGGGUCUGACGGUGAGGGACGAAGCCCUGGGGCACAAACCGGAUUAGAUACCCGGGUAGUCCAGGGUGUAAACGCUGCUUGCUUGAUGUUAGUUGGGCUCCGAGCCCAACUAGUGUCGGAGAGAAGUUGUUAAGCAAGCUGCCUGGGAAGUACGGUCGCAAGGCUGAAACUUAAAGGAAUUGGCGGGGGAGCACAGCAACGGGUGGAGCGUGCGGUUU